GACGAACGCUGGCGGUGUGCUUAACACAUGCAAGUGGUGCGACGAACCAGAGCUUGCUCUGGGGCAAAGCCGCGAACGGGUGAGUAACACGUGGGUAACGUACCCCGAUCACCGGGACAACCCGAGGAAACUCGGGCUAAUACCGGAUGUGUCCGUGAAUCAUGAGGUUCACGUGCAAAGGAAGCUUCGGCCUCCGGAUCGGGAGCGGCCCGCGGCCCAUUAGCCAGUUGGUGGGGUAACGGCCUACCAAAGCGACGAUGGGUAGCUGGUCUGAGAGGACGAUCAGCCACACUGGGACUGAGACACGGCCCAGACUCCUACGGGAGGCAGCAGUGGGGAAUCUUGCGCAAUGCGCGAAAGCGUGACGCAGCAACACCGCGUGA
Molecule: ribosomal RNA, 383 nt
Filed under: uncultured bacterium
Lineage: Bacteria
Description: bacterial SSU rRNA
Rfam family: Bacterial small subunit ribosomal RNA
Source: RNAcentral